Molecule: ribosomal RNA, 200 nt
Filed under: uncultured bacterium
Lineage: Bacteria
Description: partial 16S ribosomal RNA
Rfam family: Bacterial small subunit ribosomal RNA
Source: RNAcentral
AGAGUUUGAUCCUGGCUCAGAACGAACGUUGGCGGCGUGGAUUAGGCAUGCAAGUCGAACGAAUCCCGGUCGGGCAACUGACUGGGGGAAGUGGCGAAAGGGGCAGUAAGGCGUGGGUAACCUACCCCGGGGACCGGGAUAGCCACCCUAACGGGUGGGUAAUACCGGGCGAUGUACGCGGAGGGCAUCCCCUGCGUACG